CACGUAGGGGGCGAGCGUUGUCCGGAUUCAUUGGGCGUAAAGGGCGCGCAGGCGGCCCGGAAAGUCGGAUGUGAAAACUCGAGGCUCAACCUCGAGACGCCGAUGGAAACCAUGUGGCUAGAGUCCGGAAGAGGAGAGUGGAAUUCCUGGUGUAGCGGUGAAAUGCGCAGAUAUCAGGAGGAACACCUGUGGCGAAAGCGGCUCACUGGACCAUAACUGACGCUGAUGCACGAGAGCUAGGGGAGCAAACAGG
This 253-nucleotide ribosomal RNA is filed under the name uncultured bacterium. Its description in RNAcentral is "partial 16S ribosomal RNA". It matches the Rfam family "Bacterial small subunit ribosomal RNA", at positions 524 to 776 of the family's 1533-position model. The record is from RNAcentral.